UUUUUUAUUAUUUAAAAAGUAUUAAUGCAAUUGUGACAGGUAGGUUAUAAUUAUGAUAGACAAAGGGCAAGGAGAUGAAUUUAUGAAGCAGUAUAUGGAUACUUGCAAAGAGCAAAUAGAAAAAUUAGCCAAGGAUCCUGAAUUGCUUAAUCAGGCUUUAAAACCAUUUAUGCAAAUGUCUCAGCAGCUUAUGGCUGGCGGUAUGUUAGAAGGGGCUAUGCCUGGCAUGAUACCUGAUUUGGGCAGUAUGGAUGUUAACAAGAUGAUUGCUCAGAUGAAGGAAAUGAUUGACUACAUAAGAGGUAACUAUAAGGAACUAAUGAAAGAGCGCAGCUCGCAGAUUCAAGAGCUUAAUGAAUCCAGUAAAAAGCUAAGAGGCUUAGUUAAAAAAUUGAUAGAAAAGAUCGAAAGUAAAUAAAUAACAUCUGGAUUUCUGUCAUUCUAUAUACAACUUUCUAGUUGGACGGUAAGUCGAGGUCAAUUAUUGAUGUCAUGAAAGUAGCUGACACUGGUUCCUUUAUGACGGCA
Molecule: long non-coding RNA, 528 nt
Organism: Drosophila ananassae
Lineage: Eukaryota; Metazoa; Arthropoda; Insecta; Diptera; Drosophilidae
Exons: 2
Source: RefSeq, a predicted model, not a curated record